Molecule: ribosomal RNA, 262 nt
Filed under: uncultured bacterium
Lineage: Bacteria
Description: partial 16S ribosomal RNA
Rfam family: Bacterial small subunit ribosomal RNA
Source: RNAcentral
UACGUAGGGUGCGAGCGUUAAUCGGAAUUACUGGGCGUAAAGCGUGCGCAGGCGGUCUGUUAAGACCGAUGUGAAGUCCCCGGCUUAACCUGGGAACUGCAUUGGUGACUGGCAGGCUUUGAGUGUGGCAGAGGGAGGUAGAAUUCCACGUGUAGCAGUGAAAUGCGUAGAGAUGUGGAGGAAUACCGAUGGCGAAGGCAGCCUCCUGGGCCAACACUGACGCUCGAUGCACGAAAGCGUGGGGAGCAAACAGAUGAUAGUA